UGGGCCUCAAAUAAUGUGUGAC
RNAcentral lists this ribosomal RNA (22 nucleotides) under Anopheles strodei. RNAcentral describes it as "partial 28S ribosomal RNA". The record is from RNAcentral. RNAcentral also lists the same sequence under 1 other name. Lineage: Eukaryota; Metazoa; Arthropoda; Insecta; Diptera; Culicidae.